CACGCCGUAAACGAUGAGUGCUAGGUGUUAGGCCCUUUCCGGGGCUUAGUGCCGGAGCUAACGCAAUAAGCACUCCGCCUGGGGAGUACGACCGCAAGGUUGAAACUCAAAGGUAUUGACGGGGGCCCGCACAAGCGGUGGAGCAUGUGGUUUAAUUCGAAGCAACGCGAAGANCCUUACCAGGUCUUGACAUCCCGAUGCUAUUCUUAGAGAUAGGAAGUUACUUCGGUACAUCGGAGACAGGUGGUGCAUGGUUGUCGUCAGCUCGUGUCGUGAGAUGUUGGGUUAAGUCCCGCAACGAGCGCAACCCUUAUUGUUAGUUGCCAUCAUUAAGUUGGGCACUCUAGCGAGACUGCCGGUAAUAAACCGGAGGAAGGUGGGGAUGACGUCAAAUCAUCAUGCCCCUUAUGACCUGGGCUACACACGUGCUACAAUGGUCGGUACAACGAGUUGCGAGCCGGUGACGGCAAGCUAAUCUCUGAAAGCCGAUCUCAGUUCGGAUUGGAGGCUGCAACUCGCCUCCAUGAAGUCGGAAUCGCUAGUAAUCGCGGAUCAGCACGCCGCGGUGAAUACGUUCCCGGGCCUUGUACACACCGCCCGUCACACCAC
RNAcentral lists this ribosomal RNA (609 nucleotides) under uncultured bacterium. RNAcentral's name for it is "bacterial SSU rRNA". It matches the Rfam family "Bacterial small subunit ribosomal RNA", at positions 796 to 1405 of the family's 1533-position model. The record is from RNAcentral.